Molecule: long non-coding RNA, 884 nt
Organism: Nicotiana tabacum (common tobacco)
Lineage: Eukaryota; Viridiplantae; Streptophyta; Magnoliopsida; Solanales; Solanaceae
Source: RefSeq, a predicted model, not a curated record
UUCUCCUCUAUUUCUUUACUCUCUCGUCUCUCUCAUCCCCUCUGCUAGUUUGCGCACUGACGCCGUCCUUCGCCGGUCGAAAAUCUCCACCACUGGUCGGCCGUUAUCCAAACUCCACAAACAACCUUACACCAGUCUUCUUCUCUUUCUCACAUCUACCUCAAUCCACGUCUCAAAUCCUCAGAAUCUCCAUCAAUCUUUACCAAUUUGGCCUUGACUGAAACUCUAGCCGCCCAAAAUUUUCUUUUUUUUCUUUCUCAAAUUCGUGACAAACCAGUCAUCCCCAACACAAAAAUCUCACAUAAACAUGUAGAUAUACUUGAGAUCCAUACUUCUCUUUUAAUUUCAUCCAUAAAUCUGAUCUCUGCUACUGCCAACUAGCAACCUCCACCUCCAUGACCUUUAACCAUCAGAAACUCACUCGGCCUUCUAUUUUAAGUUGUGUACGAUCUCGGACACCCUUUUUCUUUUGGUAUGGCGCACAAAUUAAUUUCCGAUGUGCAGAAUUUGUUGAACCAACACAUGCCCUUAAGACAAAAGGUGCUCGAAGGUCAAUUGACUGGCCAUUUGGCACCCCGUUAUUGCACCGAGGAUUCGAGGUUAAAGUUCUGAGAUUUUUAACAAAGUUGGAAUUCUCAAGCCAUUGGGAAUGAAAAUCCCAUAUUAGACGACACUCGAGAAUUCUAGGGAUGCAAAAAAAAGAGGGCUUCAAGAACGAUCUAAUAAAUUAGUCUUUUAAAGUCAAAUUUUAAUAAGAGAUUUAAAUUUUUAAAUAGAGUUUAUAUAUGUUUAACACAAUUUGCAAAAAAUUAGUGUUUUGUUUUUUUCUUAUAUUCAUUGUUUAUAGUGUAAUAUGCUUACAAGAUAUAAAAUCUUUAAUGUUA